AGGACAGAACGCAGACCACUCACCAUGGAGUUUGGGCUCAGCUGGGUUUUCCUUCUUGCUAUUUUAAGAGGUGUCCAGUGUGAUGUGCAACUGGUGGAGUCUGGUGGAGGCCAGGUGCAGCCUGGGAGGUCUCUAAGACUCUCCUGUAGAGCCAGUGGUUUCAAUUUUGGUGACUAUAGCAUGCACUGGGUCCGCCAGGUGCCAGGGAAGAGGCUGGAGUGGGUCUCAUACAUUAAUUGGGAUAGUAGUAGCAUAUAUUACACCAACUCUGUGGAGGGCCGAUUCACCACCUCCAGAGACAACAGCAAGAACACACUCUACCUGCAAACGAACAGCCUGAGAGCUGAGGACACGGCUGUUUAUUACUGUGCUAGACACACAGUGAUGAGAAGUCAGUGUGUCCAGUGUGAGGUGCAGCUGAUAGAGUCUUGUAGAGACCUGGUGCAGCCUGGGGGUCUCUGA
This is a non-coding RNA of Pteronotus mesoamericanus, 462 nucleotides long. Lineage: Eukaryota; Metazoa; Chordata; Mammalia; Chiroptera; Mormoopidae. The record is from the annotation of a RefSeq genome assembly.